GAGGGGGAAUGGAUAAGGAGGGGAGGAGGGCCCACAGGAGACCUGAGGGGGGUGGUGGGUAAUGGAUAAGGAGGGGAGGGGGGCCUGCAGGGGGCCUGUGACACCUAGGGGAGGGGAAUGGAUAAGGAGGGUAGGAGGGCCAACAGGAGGCACUGAGAUACCAGGGGGAGGGGUGGAAUGAGGAGGGGAGAGCCCUGCAGGGGGGCGGGGAGACCUGAGGUGAGGGUAAUGGAUAAGGAGGGGAGGAGGGUCUGCAGGGGUUCUUGGGAGACCUGGGGGAUGAAUAGGAGAGGACAAGGGGAGGAGGGUCUGCAGGGGGCCCUGGGAGCCCUGCGGGGGGCGAGGGGUGGGGGAAUGGAUAAGGAGGGGAGGAGGGCCUGCAAGGGGUGCUGGGAGACUUGGGGGAGGGGAAUGGAUAAGGAGGGGAGGAGGGCCUGCAAGGGGUGCUGGGAGACCUGGGGGAGGGGAAUGGAUAAGGAGAGGAGGAGGGCCCGCAGGAGGCACUGAGAGACUGGGGGGAGGGGUGGAAUGAGGAGGGGAGGAGAGCCCUGCAGGGGGCACUGAGAUACUGGGGGGAGGGGUGGAAUGAGGAGGGGAGGAGAGCCCUGUAGGGGGCGCUGGGAGACCUUGGGGGGAAUGGAUAAGGAGGGGAAGAGGGCCCUCAGGGGGCGCUGGGAGACCUGGGGGGGAAAUGGAUAAGGAGGGGAGGAUGGCCGCAAGGGGCACUGGGAGACGCUGGCGGGGAAUGGAUAAGGAGUGGAGGGGGGCCUGCAAGGGGCGCUGGGAGACCUGGAGGGGAAAGGAUAAGGAGGGAGGAGGGCCUGGAGAGGGCGCUGGGAGACUUGGGCGGGGGUGGAGGGAAUGGAUAAGGAGGGGAGAAGGGCCUGCAGGGGGCACUGAGACCUGGUGGGGAAUGGAUAAGGAGGGAGGAGGGCCUGCAGGGGGCGCUGGGGAACCUGGGGGGCUUGGAUAAGAAGGGGAGGAGGGCCUGCAGGGGGCGCUGGGAGACCUAGGCGGGGCAGGGGUGGGGAAUGGGUAAGGAGGGAAGAAGGGCCUUGCAGGGGGCGCUGGGAGACCUGGGGUCGGGGGGAGGAUAAGGAGGGGCAAUGGGAGAGGAUGGGGAAUGGGGUGCUUAGAGACUUGGGUGGGAAAUGGACGCAGCAGGGACUGGGCGGGGAGAGACCUUACAAGGGUUCCAGGAGAUGGGUUGGGGUGGGCUGGACAGGGCAGAGUGGAGGGUGAGGAGGGCCCUCUGUGAGCCACAGAGACCUGAGCAGGAGCUAGGUGGGGGCUGGGAAUGUGCAGGAAAGGAGACGUGGAAGGAGGGGGAGAUAGGGCGGCAGGGGUGAUGGAGAUUGACAGGGACCCCAGACAUGGGGGUAGGGAAAUGGGGAUGGAAAUAAAUGGAAAAAAAGAGGCUUCGUGGUGGGAAAGAGGAGGAACUCCGAGGGCUCCGGGGCACUGAGGUGUGCAGAGUUGCCGGGUCCUGAGUACCCUCGAGGGAGCAGAGGGAGCUCGAGGAACGAGGAAGAGAGGGGACGACGAGGGCAAAGAAGGGAGAACGUAGGCGGGUGUGGAGGAGGAUGAGCGUCCGAGGGAGAAGACGGAGGAGUUGAGCAGAGAAAGGGCAGGAAUGUGGGGGCUGGAAAGGGUGAGGAGGCAGCCGAUGGAGCAGGGGUGCAUCGGAGUUCAUGGGUACUUCCCAGGAGCUCAUUUAAGGCAGGUGGGAGGGCGGGGGACGUGGAGGGGCGGCCACACUGUGAACGGACUGAAGCCCACUUAACUGUUCACUCUAAAGUGGUUCAGUUCGUUACGUGUGUUUUCACUUCAAUCAAUUGCUUUUAAUGGAAAUUAAUCAUAUUGAUGGUCUCCAGAAGAAGUUGGGUUGAUACCUGCAACCAGAUUUUAAAAAUGCAAAUUUGGAGCCAAUGAGUGAAUGAAAUAAUUUGUACCUCACUGAUUCUUUUAAGGCAUAGCUUACAACGUUCCAGAAACUGUUCUAUUUGUUUUCACUUUUGUUUCAAAAUCUUAAUGGCAUUUUGUUUGCUGAUUGUGAAUAAAUAUUUGUAUGCUGCGAAAAGCAAAUCCAAAACCAACAGCUCAAAGGAGAAAGUGUGGCAAACAGGAGAUUGGAGAUUGGACCCCAAAACUCCUGGAGUGACGAAAAUUGACCUGGAUGAAGAAAUGGCUUUCUCUUGGCCUUCUUUUGUUUAAACAUAUCUUCCAGUCCUGGGGAUGGAUUUCCCUCCCAUCCAUAGCCAGAGAACUUUCUGUAUCCAUCAAAGUGCUUUCUAUGUUUGCCCGCUCUCCACAGCUCCCUCUUUGUCAUUCGCGAAUAGUAUAUAAUCAAAUAUUGUUUUCAUUUUCAAUAAUAUAAAAGAUAGAACUAAAUUCAGCUUUGAAAGACACCCAUGUACCAGUGGGUACUGGUACACUUGCCAGUGACUUUCUUCGCUCCCUAGUUUCUGCGUGGUGUCUGGGGUUUCCGUCACAGUAUAUGUACUAUACAAAGAAAAUAAAUAUUUGAAGGUCACUGGGAAAGUAGUAUGCUAUAAUGACUUACUUUAAAUCAUUUAAAUGAGUUUUUCUGCUUGAGUAAUCAGCACCUAUUUAGUGCCUCCUUGAGUAAUUUUGCGUGAUGGCUGUGACAUGCUGCUAGGAAGUUUUUCAGAGUUUGUAUUAUAGAAUCAUGUUUAGAAAAUUUCAAAUACCAAUUUAAAAGGCAUGUUUUAAAAGGAGAUAUAAAGCCAGUGGGAGGAGGGAUAGAGAAAGGGGAAACUGAGUUAAAUUUGAAGGGGACAAAGGGGCUUAAAAAGAGAAAUAGAUGGAAAGGGAGGGAUGAGGAGGAGGAGAGAGGGCCAAGCAGGCAGGGGAGGCAGGCCUGCAGUUGCUAAACUUUGCUCCUUCCCCGCGUUCUUGGAUAAUAUUUGUGGGGAGGCACUCCAAGCCAGACCUGCUGGAUUUCCUGCUCGUAGGCCUGUGCAGCCCAGGAAACUGUUCAGAAAAGUAGGAGAUGCCCAGGUGUGGUGACGGGCCAGCCAUGGGUUCCCCCAGUGCCUGCUGUGGAGCUUGGUCACUUGCAUCCUCCGGGUGGUAUUGCUUCGUGGUGGGUCCACACUAUGAGCUUAUCAGGCAAUGUGCUCAAAGGAAAGGAAGGCCUUGCGAAGUAUGUGGCACAGGGCCUCCAAAGAAGUGAUUAUUAAAAUGAUGGCGAGAGGAUGGGGUCCCAAGCCUACCUGGCUGAGGUCCUUAUAAGAAGAGAAGACACCAGAGAAGGACACACACAGAGGAAAGGCUGCGUGAGAGCAGCAAGAAGAUGGUUUUGUGUGAGCCAAGAAGGGGGCCUCGGGAGAACCAAACUUGCCAACACCUUGCUCUUGUACUUCCAGCCUCCAGAACUAUGAGAAAUAAAUGUCUGUUUUCUUAGCCACUCAGUCUGUGGUGUUUUGUUACGGCAGCUCUAGCACACCAGUGCAGGUACACACCAGGAGAGGCUCACACCAGUGCAAGCUCACACCAUUGCAGGCUCAUAUCAGUGCAGGCACACACCAGGACAGGCUCAAACCAAUGCAGGCACACACCAAUGCAGGCUCACACCAAUGCAGGCUUACACCAGUGCAGGCACACACCAGUGCAGGCUCACACCAAUGCAGGCUCACACCAUGCAAAUGGGACCGAGUGUGGGAGGCUGUGCUACUGCAUGGUUGCUGAAAGCAAAUGUUGGAAAACAUAUUCCACUUAGCCCUUUGGGCUAAGAAUUAUCCCCAGCACAUGUGCUUGACUGGGUGGGCAUGGGGACAGAUGAGCUCUAGAGCAUUAUUUGGAACUGGCAUAGAUUCAGAUAGAGAUGGACAAAUCAGAAAUGUAAAAAUAUUUUGAAAAAAAUUCUAUGAGGCAGCAAUGGACGAGACAGGCCAUUGAGUGCUGUCAUUGUCUUUAAAAAAUACUAUGUUCACUGCUUUCAAAGUAAGUGUCAUGAGGUUUAUUACUUAGUGGUUCUCUGGCUCCCCUAAGUUGACUGUAAAAUCUUUAUGAGGCACUUGGUAAGCACAUAAGUAUUUGAAGUACCCAAGGGAUAAAAGAGCUCGGUAGUGAAAUGGUGAGUGAAGGCUGGAAUUGCCCUAAAGUCUGGGUAGGAAGGGGGCCUCCAGCUGAGUAUGCCAAGCAAGUAACAUGAAUUAUCUCUCAAAUCUUCUAGAAAGCCCUAUGAGGGGGCAGUAUCAUAAUACCCUUUUCACAGAGAAAGAAAUGGAAAGGUUAAGAAACUUGCUCAAGGCCAGGCACGGUGGUUCACACCUGCAAUCCCAGUGCUUUGGGAGGCUGAGGCCAGAGGAUCACUCGAGGACAGGAGUUUGAGACCAGCCUGGGCAACAUAGUGAGACUCAGUUUCUACAAAAACAAAAAAACCAAAAAAUUAAAAAAUAAAAACUUGCUGAAGUGGUGGAAACAGUGAUUCAGGGAUCUUUGUCUUAAAUACUUUGUAAUGUGUUAUUUAUUAUGCUUCUUGUUAAUUUCUACAUGGGAAAUUAUAUAUAUGUUUAUGUUUUUAAAUAUAUAUUAUAUAUACUUAUAUAUUAAAUACGUAUUUCUACAUAUGUUUCCCAUAUAUGUGCUAUGUAAUAUAUAUGGUAAGAAAGCUCAACAUGGGUAAGGAUCUUUGUGAGUUUUGUUAACUGUUGUAUCCAAAGUGCCUGGGACAGGACCCUUGACAACAAUUUGUGGAAUAACUGAGUGUUGGAGUCCAUUGGCCUUCGACCACUCUUUUUUACAGCCCCUCUGGCAUACAUGAAGGGUGAAUCUGAGUUUUAUAUCCCACAGCCUUACACAAAUAAAUGUCAUGAUUGCGUUUUCUCUUGUUGUUCUGCAGUGGUAUUUACCUGGACAGUUUAAUGAUGUCUCUGACCUCUUCAUUUUAAGAAACCUUUCAAGAACUUUUUACUUCAUUCAACAGUUGUCUAUUCAUGCCAUAGGUAUUUAUAAUGAACUGUGAUAUCUAUAUUGUGGAGAAACGGGGUGCUCAGAAAGCUUUUCUUUUUCUUUUUCUUUUCUUUUCUUUUUUUUUUUUAUUCUGAGAUGGAGUCUCACUCUGUCACCUAGGCUGGAGUGCAG
RNAcentral lists this long non-coding RNA (5109 nucleotides) under Homo sapiens (human). RNAcentral describes it as "HSALNT0269554". Lineage: Eukaryota; Metazoa; Chordata; Mammalia; Primates; Hominidae. The record is from RNAcentral.